This 492-nucleotide ribosomal RNA is filed under the name uncultured bacterium. RNAcentral's name for it is "partial 16S ribosomal RNA". It matches the Rfam family "Bacterial small subunit ribosomal RNA", at positions 29 to 507 of the family's 1533-position model. The record is from RNAcentral.
AGUGAACGCUGGCGGUAGGCCUAACACAUGCAAGUCGAGCGGCAGCACAGUAAGAGCUUGCUCUUACGGGUGGCGAGUGGCGGACGGGUGAGGAAUACAUCGGAAUCUACUUUGUCGUGGGGGAUAACGUAGGGAAACUGACGCUAAUACCGCAUACGACCUACGGGUGAAAGCAGUGGAUCUUCGGACCUUGCGCGAUUGAAUGAGCCGAUGUCGGAUUAGCUAGUUGGCGAGGUAAAGGCCCACCAAGGCGACGAUCCGUAGCUGGUCUGAGAGGAUGAUCAGCCACACUGGAACUGAGACACGGUCCAGACUCCUACGGGAGGCAGCAGUGGGGAAUAUUGCACAAUGGGCGCAAGCCUGAUCCAGCUAUACCGCGUGGGUGAAGAAGGCCUUCGGGUUGUAAAGCCCUUUUGUUGGGAAAGAAAAGCAGCAGGUUAAUCCCCCGCUGUUCUGACGGUACCCAAAGAAUAAGCACCGGCUAACUUCGUG